GCAUGCAAGGGCAAUCUGGCUGUAACAUCUGUCACCUCAUUGAUCGCCAGGGUUGAUUCGGCUGAUCUAGGUGGGUAGGCGGGUGUUCCCUGCCUCCCUCUCCAUUCCAUGUGAAUCCCUUCUGAAGCUGCAGACUGGGUCAGAGAGGAUGACCUUGCCCAGCAAAGGAGGACUGUUCUUAGAUCAAGGAUAUCUGAGUAGCUACGCUUCCCUGGUAGAACCUCCCAACAAGCUCUCAAGAAUGUGUAUCUUUUGCGUUGAUUACAUUUUACAUUCCAAAAAGUGAAUAUUUUGUGAAUAUUAUGUUAAGAUUU
Molecule: unclassified non-coding RNA, 314 nt
Organism: Microcebus murinus (gray mouse lemur)
Lineage: Eukaryota; Metazoa; Chordata; Mammalia; Primates; Cheirogaleidae
Gene: 7SK
Rfam family: 7SK RNA
About the family: 7SK was discovered as an abundant small nuclear RNA in the mid-70s but a possible function has only recently been suggested. Two independent studies have found that 7SK RNA binds the CDK9/cyclin T complex (known as elongation factor P-TEFb).
Source: Ensembl